UAGGGAAUCUUCCACAAUGGGCGAAAGCCUGAUGGAGCAACGCCGCGUGAGUGAUGAAGGCCUUCGGGUUGUAAAACUCUGUCAUUCGGGACGAACUGGAGUCUGAGGAAAUGCAGACUCUCUGACGGUACCGGAGGAGGAAGCCCCGGCUAACUACGUGCCAGCAGCCGCGGUAAUACGUAGGGGGCAAGCGUUGUCCGGAUUCACUGGGCGUAAAGCGCGCGCAGGCGGUGAUGUAAGGCUGGGGUGAAAACCCGAAGCUCAACUUCGGGACUGCCUUGGAUACUGCGUCACUUGAGGAUAGGAGAGGCAAGGGGAAUUCCACGUGUAGCGGUGAAAUGCGUAGAGAUGUGGAGGAACACCUGUGGCGAAGGCGCCUUGCUGGCCUAUUUCUGACGCUGAGGCGCGAAAGCGUGGGGAGCAAACAGG
This 429-nucleotide ribosomal RNA is filed under the name Actinomycetes bacterium. Its description in RNAcentral is "Actinobacteria bacterium partial 16S ribosomal RNA". It matches the Rfam family "Bacterial small subunit ribosomal RNA", at positions 355 to 776 of the family's 1533-position model. The record is from RNAcentral. Lineage: Bacteria; Bacillati; Actinomycetota; Actinomycetes.